AUGCUCACUUAGGCAGCAUAUAAAAUAAAAUUGGAUCUAUACAGAAAAGAUUAGCAUGGCCCCUGCACAAGGAUGACACGCAAAUUCAUGAAGUGUUCCAUAUUAAA
Small nuclear RNA from Suncus etruscus (white-toothed pygmy shrew), 107 nucleotides. NCBI's taxonomy places the organism in Eukaryota, Metazoa, Chordata, Mammalia, Eulipotyphla, Soricidae. The record is from RefSeq and is a predicted model, not a curated record.